UGGAGGAGUUCCCAUUGUGGCUCUGCAGAUUAAGGACCCAACGUUGUCUCUGUGAGGAUGAGGUUCAAUCCCUGGCCUUGCUCAGUAGGUUAAGGAUCCAGCACUACUGCAAGCUGUAGCAUAAGUGGAAGUCGUGGCUUGGAUCUGAUGUUGCCGUGGGUGUGACAUAGGUGCAGAUGAAGCUAUAAAAGAAAAAAAAAUAUGGAGUAGAUAGGAACAGGAUUGAGGGGAGCUUUUUUACUACAUACCUUUUGGUGUCGCUGGGAUUUUUGAACUCUGUCAACAGAGGAUAGGAAAAUUUCCCUAUCUAAAUGAUACUCUAGUACCAAAACAAUGUAAUAUAUAGAUCACUGGCUUCACAGGCAAGUUCUAUACAAUAAAUUUAGUUGUGACAUUUAUCCUAGCUUGAUUAUUGUGAAAGAGAAGUCUGUUCUAUAUGCUUAACUAUUUUUUUAAAUUCCACUGGCUAUCCUUGUUAGUUAUGUAACUUUUCUAAACCAUGGAAACUUUUCACUUCCUUUAUUCUUUGGAUAUUUUUAUAAAAACUAUGGAAGUAUUUCAUCUUCAGUGGAAUUUAGGUUUAUGUGUAUUUUUAUAAUAAGUCUGCCCUUGAAUAUCAGAAAAGCGAAGGAAUUGAGAAUGAAUAGGGGAGCAGGGCCCUUAUCCCAGAAAAAUCCUUGUCAACAGCAGCCGUUCAAACAGAACCAGCCUGGGCAACUUCAACCAGCACCAGGCCUUAUUUUUGAAAUCUAAGAUUAUAGUUUUAAGACCAAAAAGUACAUUCUAGCCUAGAAAUGGAACUAAUAAAUAACAAGGACAUGAACAGAAUUCACCCAAGGUGAAAUACAAUUCUUUUUUUUUUUUUUUUUUUUUUUUUUUUGUCUUUUUGCCAUCUCUUGGGCUGUUCCUAGGCACAUGGAGUUUCCCAGGCCAGGGGUUGAAUCGGAGCUGUAGCCACUGGCCUACACCAGAGCCACAGCAAUGCAGGAUCCGAGGCAUCUGCGAUCUACACCACAGCUCACGGCAAUGCUGGAUCCCUAACCCACUGAGUAAGGCCAGGGAUUGAACCUGCAACCCCAUGAUUCCCAGUUGGACUUGUCAACCACUGUGCCACAACAGGAACUCCAAGGUGAAAUAUAAUUCUUAAAUGAAUGAAUCUGAAGUGGUUAAAUCAUGAAUCAUAAAAAAUAUUCAUUUAAAGAGAAUUUUUGAGGACUGUUAAUUUAUCUUGAAUCAGCCCCAAACUCUCAGAAAUGCUUCUAAUUUCACUGAAUGAAGGAAUAAAAGUGAAGUAUCAAACUGAAGGAGCAAUAAGACGAACAAAGUUUGAUAACCCAGUAUUGUGGAAGACAACUUUCCAUGUGUCUCUCGGGUCUCUGCAUCUCCUAUAUCAAGACCCUGACUACCCUUUUCCAGGCUAUUUUUUCAAGGAUGUUUGAAUGGCUAAUAUCCUUGGAAGGUAGCGUCAAUGUCUCUCCAAAGAAUGGGACAAGUAGAAUUCCAGCUUCACUCAAGUGGGAGGGAGCUCUCUAAUUAUAGGCAAGUCCAGUGAUAGCCUUGCUUCUGCCUGAAGUUUGCCCUUGAACUAGAUUUCCUCCCAUAGACAAGUCAAGGUCCAUCCCAGUUUCUGUUUCAUGGUAAGAUCCUUGGCUAUCCUGUGCUCCUCUUUUCAUCAAGACAGCUCUGCUCUCAAAAGGCUCUGCUUUGUGCAGAGAACUUUCCUCCCCUUAGACAUGACUAGAGCAACAAAGAUACUGUUGCAUACACAUGCCUCUUUUAAUUUUUUUUUUUUUUUACUUUUUAUUGACCUGUAGUUGAUUAACAAUAUUGUGCUAGUUUCUUGGAGUUCCUAUUGUGGCUCAGUGGUUAAUGAAUCUGAUUAGGAACCAUGAGGUUGUGGGUUCGAUCCCUGGCCUUGCUCAGUGGGUUAAGGAUCUGGCAUUGCCAUGAACUGUGGUGUAGGUCACAGAUGCAGUUCGGAUCCCGCGUUGCUGUGGCUCUGGUAUAGGCAGGCAGCUAUAGGUCUGAUUAGACCCCCUAGCCUGGGAACCUCCAUAUCCCACAGGGGCGGCCCUAGAAAAAACAAAAAGACAAAAAAAAUGUUGUUUUAGUUUCAGGUGUACAGCAAAAUGAAUUGGUUAUACAUAUAUGCAUAUAUAUUCUUUUUCAGAUUCUUCUCCUGCACAGGUUUUUACAGAAUCUUGAGUAGAGUUUCCUGUGCUGUAUAGUAGGUCCUUGUUGAUUAUCUAUUUUAUAUAGUGUAGUGUGUUUAUGUUAAUCCCAAACUCCUAAUCUAUCCCUGCCCCUAACCUUUUCCCUUUGGUAACUGUAAAUAAGUUUUCUAUGUCUGCGCGACUGUUUCUGUCUGGUAAAUGAGUUCAUUUGUAUCAUUUCUGAAAUUACAUUGGGAGGAGCCUGCUCUUUCCUGUCAGAUACCAGGACACAGUUGCACACAGGGGGCUCUGCUGAUGCCAUGCAUGGGCAGGACAGCUCUUCAUCCUGGUGCAGGGGGCGAGGGGAGUUAUCUCAAUUCUGCAUUAGCUCUGGGAUGCUCUCCUGGUUUGGGUCUCUUUGAUCAGUAGAAUCUAAAUUGUCCUGGCUGUUCCAUGAAGCCUGAAAUUUAGGAACCCAGGGUUUCCUGUGUUCAUCAAUGCUCCUGCUGUCCUCCACGUGGGCAUCCAACAAUCAGGGAAACUGUCAAAUCCUAGCAGGCACUGUGGGAAGAGGGACACAGAGACACUGGAAGCAAAGCUAUGCAAAACAGGAGAUCUCUUCAAAGGUUUGUCUGGUGGCUGGCUGUUCAGCUGUACCUCCAAUGAGAGCUUGAACUUUCAGCAAGAUAUUCUGUAAGAGAUGGCUUUGCUUGAUCUCCAGGGGAGAAGGAAACAUUCUUUGAACUCCUGAGUCACUAGACUAUUCUGAUUUCCAUUUAGUAUUUGGGGAGUUUCCUGGUUCACUGCCUCUCAGGAUGUUCCUCAUUGUGGUUGAGGACCUGGGAACUCAUCAGCCUUGACUAUGUCCCUUUGACCCUUGAAUUCUUAGUUUCAUCUCUCACAUCCUUAUCCUCUGGGAACAUUGCUAUUCUAUUGUCAGAUUCUCCUGGGAUAUAACUGAUUCUCAUCCUUUGGCUCAUUUCCUGUUACUGCUUGACUUGUGAGAAGCUCUGAACUGCCUCUGUUGCCUGCCCCCCAACAUAGUCCCACUGUGUCGCAUUUUGGCAACAAUGAUAGAUAUGAGCACAUUAAAAGUCUGCUUUCCUCUUUCUGAGAGUGCUCUGUGAAUCCAGGGCCUGCAUCAAAGAAGGAUGGUUUCAGGGCUCUCUGCCCUUCCUCUCUCACAGAUGAGGGGGACCUUAGAGGACUAUCCAAGGCAGGAAUUUCAUUUUUGUGUGAGUGUGAUCACCAGUCUUCCCGACCUGCUUCCGGGUUUCUUUCAAGGAGCUUGGUAACUCAGCUAUGGGCUCAACCUUGAGAGACAGUGACUGAGGAUAGAGUGGCCCAGUAGGGAAGGUGCUAUGAUUGGGCUGCUUUUGCCAGAAAGUUUAUGAAUACACAUCCCUUUUAUAAGGACACUUGUAAUAGAAUCUGGCAAUCACCAGGAUAAUUCAGGAUAAUCUCAUCUUGAGAUGCUUAACUUAGUCGUAUCAGCAAAGUAUUUUUGUUUUCUGUUACAUAAGAAAACAGUCCCAGCUUCCAGGAAUUUGGACCUGGUUAUAUUUGGCAGAAUUAUUAUGCAGACUACUCUACAUGUAAUUGGCAAUUUAAAUUACAGAGCCAGAGCUCCCAUCAUGACUUUUAUUAACAAACCCAACUAGUAUCCAUGAAGAUGUGGGUUCAAUCUCUGGCCUUGUUCAGUGGAUUAAGGAUCCAGCAUUGCUAUGAGCUGUGGUAUAGGUUGCAGAUGCCACUUGGAUCCCGUAUUUCUGUGGCUGUGGUGUAGGCUAGCAGUUACAGCUCUGAUUCAGCCCUUAGCCUUGGAACCUCCAUAUGCUGUGGGUACAGCCAAAAAGACAAAAGAUAAAAAUAAAUAAAUAAAUAAAUUAAUUAAUUACAGAGCCUGGGAGUUCUGCUAUGGCACAGUGGUAACAAAAUUGACUAGGAUCCAUGAGGAUGCAGGUUUGAUCCCUGGCCUCACUCAGUGGGUUAAGGAUCUGGGGUUAGGUCACAGAUGUGGCUUGGAUCCUGCGUCCAUAGUGUUGGCCAGCAGCUGUAGCUCUAAUUGGAGUUCCUAACCUGGGAACUUCCAUAUGCCAUGGGUGUGGCCCUAAAAAGACAAAAACAAUAAAAAUUACAGAGCUUCAUGGGUCAGUCUUGAGGCUCUGGGCCAGUAGGUAAGAAAUGGACAGUGAGUGAGGCUGAAGUGGACAUCUUUGUUUUUAUUUGGUCAGUCAGAUUUUAUUCACCCUUCUGGAGGAGUCUCUGUAUUUUCCUCUUCAGUCUUGGCUUAUGUGCAGGUGAAGUUGGAGUUCCCAAGCAUCCCUACACUAAAGGUAUCCAGGUGACUCAGUUCUGGCGAAAGGAACAUUGCAUUAACCCAUUCAUAGUGAUUGGUUCAGUGACCCAACUGACGCCAGUAAGUCUUUUGCAAAACAUAUUGUGAGACAGAUGCCUCAUUUUCAGCUGCAUUUGGAUCUGGUGGAAUACAGCCCUGAUCUUGUCAGCUGCAUCCUGCCAGCACAUAACACCCGAGAAUACAGUCAGAACAGAAGGCAGAGAAUAUAGAAGUAGAGAGCAACUCAUUUCUGAUGCCAUCAGUUCAAUUCCUCAGCUAGAGGUCAGCUUUGCCCCCAGACUUUUGGUUAUAUCAGUCAAUGAAUUCCCUUUUUGGUUUAAGCUUUGUUUUCAGUAUUUAGUGAGAGUUUAUUGUGCAUGUAAUGACACUUGUCAAACUGGGAGCUCUUAAAGCCAAAGCUGCUAUUCAGCUCAGGGACAUGACAUUACAGGAUAGCUUAUGAAGUGAAAAUAAGGAAGUUGUUUCACUUUAUUAUGCUUUGGUUAUUACACUGGGGGUUUCCAGAUGGAAGGGAUUGGUUAAAAUUUAUUAAACCAUUUUUAGGAAGAUGACUUAAGUUUCUUUUAUGAUUAUAGGAGUCAUUUACAAGGAGUAGACUAAGAAACGGGCCCAAGUUAUGUUU
RNAcentral lists this long non-coding RNA (5134 nucleotides) under Sus scrofa (pig). Its description in RNAcentral is "lncRNA (ENSSSCG00000053877.1)". The record is from RNAcentral. Lineage: Eukaryota; Metazoa; Chordata; Mammalia; Artiodactyla; Suidae.